GUGAGCGUGCGGGCGAUACGGGCAGACUUGAGUACUGCAGGGGAGACUGGAAUUCCUGGUGUAGCGGUGGAAUGCGCAGAUAUCAGGAGGAACACCGGUGGCGAAGGCGGGUCUCUGGGCAGUAACUGACGCUGAGGAGCGAAAGCGUGGGGAGCGAACAGGAUUAGAUACCCUGGUAGUCCACGCCGUAAACGGUGGGUACUAGGUGUGGGUUUCCUUCCUUGGGAUCCGUGCCGUAGCUAACGCAUUAAGUACCCCGCCUGGGGAGUACGGCCGCAAGGCUAAAACUCGAAGAAAUUGACGGGGGCCCGCACAAGCGGCGGAGCAUGUGGAUUAAUUCGAUGCAACGCGAAGAACCUUACCUGGGUUUGACAUGCACAGGACGCCGGCAGAGAUGUCGGUUCCCUUGUGGCCUGUGUGCAGGUGGUGCAUGGCUGUCGUCAGCUCGUGUCGUGAGAUGUUGGGUUAAGUCCCGCAACGAGCGCAACCCUUGUCUCAUGUUGCCAGCGGGUAAUGCCGGGGACUCGUGAGAGACUGCCGGGGUCAACUCGGAGGAAGGUGGGGAUGACGUCAAGUCAUCAUGCCCCUUAUGUCCAGGGCUUCACACAUGCUACAAUGGCCGGUACAAAGGGCUGCGAUGCCGCGAGGUUAAGCGAAUCCUUUUAAAGCCGGUCUCAGUUCGGAU
RNAcentral lists this ribosomal RNA (685 nucleotides) under uncultured bacterium. RNAcentral's name for it is "bacterial SSU rRNA". It matches the Rfam family "Bacterial small subunit ribosomal RNA", at positions 615 to 1298 of the family's 1533-position model. The record is from RNAcentral.